RNAcentral lists this unclassified non-coding RNA (194 nucleotides) under uncultured fungus. RNAcentral's name for it is "sequence contains ITS1, 5.8S rRNA gene". Lineage: Eukaryota; Fungi. The record is from RNAcentral.
CCUGGUUCGGGCCCCCCCGGGGGCCCUUCUGUGGCGCCGUCCCGCGGCGUCCGCAGUUAAACCCUUUGUGAAAACCCUUGUUGCUUCGGCAGCGCCUCCGCGCCCCGGCGUGGAGGGUCAGCCUGCCGACGGCACCCGGAAAACUCAUUUCGUAAAGAAGUAAAUAGUCUGAUAAGUUAGUCGAAUGACUGUUA